RNAcentral lists this long non-coding RNA (2832 nucleotides) under Arabidopsis lyrata. RNAcentral's name for it is "long non-coding RNA (ALYR_LNC003308)". Lineage: Eukaryota; Viridiplantae; Streptophyta; Magnoliopsida; Brassicales; Brassicaceae. The record is from RNAcentral.
AGAAGCUUACGAUUGUUGUUUCCUCUGAAGCUUUCAAUCUCCAAUCUUCAAUUCCGGUAAAGCUUCCAAUCUCCAAUCUUCAAUUCCGUUGAAGCUUCCGAUCUUAGAGCUUCAAUCAGAGAGUUAAUUUCUUGGAUUCACGGCGAAAUCAUGGGUAUGUGAUUGUAGCUCUGGAUUUGUAACUCCUCCAUUGCAUUUAAUUAGACGUUUAUGAUUGUAGCUCUGGAUAUGGUUUGAUGUCGAUUUGUAACUCCUGCAUUUGAUUAGAGGUUUGUGAUUGUAGAUCUGGAUUUGGUUCGAUGUGGAUGUAUUUCUGGGUUUGUAGCUCCUAAAAUUGAUCAACGUUGUGAUUUUGCUCUAGAUUUGAUUAGCUUGUGAGUGUAGCUCUCGCUUUGAUUGGAUGUGGAUAUAGUUCUGGAUUUGAUUAGCUCCUCCAUUUGAUUAGCUCUCGAUUUGAACUCUUUUAGUGAUUAGUUCUUGAUUAAUAGCUCUUGGAUUUGAUUGUUGCUCUCGAGUUUCUAGUUUACUAUGAGUGUUAUUUAAUUUGUUCCUCAAUCACAGCUAACAAUACAAUCCAUGAUUUCUUUUGUCUAAUAACAGGCUACAACUAUUUUAUUUUACAGAGCUUAUUAGAAGCACCAAGUUUUGCCCAAUUGGGAUAUUAUAAUCAUUUGUAUUCCACCCAUGGAUUGUUCAGACAUUACAGGAAUGUUGUUGUCUUUUGCAGCUAAUCUUGUUGUCUCUUUGGAUUUUUUUUAGUUUGAUUUUGCAUUAGAAAUCUUGUUGGCUGCACAUGCAAAGUAGAAGGUAAAAACUCAUUUUCAUAGGUUUUAGGAAGGAUACGUGUAUUUUAGGAUGACCUCCCUAAAUAAUGCAAUAUACAGAUAUGAUGCUUUCUAGUCAUGUGUUUUCAAUUUUAACUCUCUGUCUAUUUUCAUGUCUAUGUUUUUUGCUUGUAGGUACUUCAUCCAUCAGUCGGAACUUCUUCUAUCAGUGUUGUACAUGGAAUAGAGCAGGAUGCUCAUUUGUAUAUGUUUUAAGAAGGGCACAUACAUAUUUAGGAUGACUUUCCUAAAACAUAUUCAGGAUGCUCAUUUGUAAGAUAUUCACGAAUGAGAAGCUUUGUUUACUGGUUAUAGUUUUGUUACAAUAACAAUAGGUCUUGGGUUCAAGUAGUGGUUGAACAUUUUGUCCAAUCUUCAGAUUUCAUUUUGUAACCUUUACCUAGAAGCUCGACCAGCAGACUUAAUUCUGGAUCAUCUUCGUCUUCCAAUGAAACUAUAUCUUCAGGAUCAUCAGGUUUUGAAGGUGAGAUGCAAAAUACAUUCAGCUGCACAAAAACAAACACAUUCAGCAGACUUAAUACAUUCAAUUACAUAUUUUAGGAAGGUCAUCCCGAAUUACUAUAAAUCCUUCCCAAAUUAGGAAGGUCAUCCCGAAUUACUAUAAAUCCUUCCAAAAUCAGGAAGGCCAUCCCGAAUUACUAUAAAUCUUUCCCAAAACUAGUUUAAACCAUAAAAAGAAGAGACUGAAUUUACAUGAUUAGAUGCUUCAAUAUUCAGUAUUUGAGAAAGUUGCGGUGAUGGUAAGCUCGUGUAUUUCUCACACAAGAAUGCAGUCGGCUUCUCUAUUAAACUGAUUCGGCUGUAGGCUGUUUGUAGCAGCAAAAAAAAACUAAAUCUAGUAGAUAAGUUCCACAGGUUCAUAAGAACAUCCGCCAUUUGAAACAUCAACCCCAAAUUCAGAUAUACAUAAAGAUUAUAAAACUGCAACAUGAAUGUAUUGUAAAACGUUUUUGCUCCAAAAUACUACAAUUACCAUAUGAUAGUAAUAAUAAAUAUCUUAAAAGCAACACAGAAUCACAGAAGAUUUUCGGGAAGGCUAUCCUGAAUACUUAGCAACACAAAAUCACAGAUUUCUGUACCUUCAAACUUUCAAUGACAAUGGAAGCUAACAUAGCAAGCUUAUGAAUUCAUAUAAUAGUGUCUAUAUAUCACAGAAUGACGGUAGCUUUUGUAUUCAUACAUCUAUAGAUUCAUUAAGUGCAAGGAGCUUAAGAACACUUUGUUUGGUUAUAAAUAGAGCAGAGAAACAACACAAACCAUACCAACGAUUAGAAAAUCUUCCAAUGGAAUCAAAAAUCACAAAUAUUAUAGAGAAUCAUUUCUUAAUUUCAGCCAAAGAGAGAACAAUAAAGCCUCAAAUUCAUUUCUAGUACUCAAUCAUUUCUUAAUUUCAGCAAUCUAGAGAACAAAAGAAUGUACUAUGAAUUAAACAUAUCGAUCAAGUACACCAUUUUCAUCAACAAUGUUUGAAAUACAAGUAUCCUAAAAUUGAUUCACUUAUAGCAAAGCCCUAUGUCACAAAUCGCAGUGAUCUAAUCAUUGUCCCCAAUGACAAAAAACUUCACCCUAAAUCGGAAUCGAAUUUCACCGAUUAUCUUUCAGCAUUUGUUGAAUCGAAACAAGUGAAUGAAAGGACUACAGAAACUCGCCGGAGAAGAAUUGGAGAGUGAGGGAAAUUACACAAACUCACCGGAGAAGAAUGAAUCCGACAAAGUCUUCGAAUCUCCGGUGAAGAAAUCAGAUCCGGUGACCGACGGAGUCGUCGGGGGCGACGGCGUCGUCGAGGGCGAUGACAAAGGUCGAGGUCGACGGCGAAAGUCGAGGUCGACGGCGAAGGUGGAGGUCGACGGAGUCGUCAAGUUUUUCGAAGGUGAAGUUUGUUGGAAGCGAAACCGUCGGGUUUGGAAGAAAUGAAAUUAGGUUUUGUGUAUUUUCUGUUUUAAUUAAUUAGAGGAUUAAAAACUUUGUGUGCUAUUUUUGGAAGUUU